GCCUUCGAGUCUCCGCGCGCUCGAGGCCAAUUACCUUUGCGGCAGAGCAGCCAAUCGAGAAGCUUCGUGUCAGGUGCGCAGUUUGGGUGGCAGCGAAUGUUGUUGGGUGCGUUUUUUCGGUAUAGAAAUUGUUUCUUUAUUUAGCUAAUAAAAAGUUUUAUAGAAACAUUCCAUAGUGUCAGCCAUUUCCGCUGCAGCCGUCCUAGUUUUAAUAAAAUAUUGCCCUCAGCUACUGCAGGUAACAGGUGAGGGAAGGCAAGUAGGGAGAGUUGCGCGUAUGUGCGGAAUUCUUCUUGGUGCCGUUCACGCCGCGCGCGGAUGGAAAAGAAGCGAGUCGACAUGAUUGGAAAACUGGCUUCGCUGAGACAAGUCAAGGUUCUGCAGGUCUUGCUACUCGUCUUAUUUGCAUGUGGAGCUUUAUAUGCGGGCUUGCUAACGUACGAGAUGCACAAGCAACUGAAGAAGUACGAGGCGAUGGUGGUGCAAUUCCGGCAACAUCAGCCUGAUGAGGCGUUCACUGCACAGCCAGGCCGCGGGAACAUAAAUGACCAGUUGGAAGAGAACAGACGGUUGAGGAAUGCUAACCUGGAUGUCAGCUUGGAGUUACAGAAGAAAUACCAGGCAUCUGCAAAAAAGAAGACUGAGACUAACUUGCAAAAUAAGGAUCAGCAUAGGUGGUUGGACCACCGUCGAGAAGCCAUGCUUCAGCAGCAGCAGGAAGAGCUGCAACAGAGAGAAACUAAGCAACGUGAAUAGGAGCCCUGGUCAGGGUGAAAGGGUAGUGCAGCAUCCAUUAACUAGAGGUUUGGAGUUAGAAUUUCGGUGCAGAGGGUAUCCCUUUGGUUAUUGGACAUUUAUUAUUUUAAAUUUGGAUGCAGAAAAUUCUUACUGUUUCUUUCCUCAGUAA
This 907-nucleotide long non-coding RNA is filed under the name Scleropages formosus (Asian bonytongue). Its description in RNAcentral is "lncRNA (ENSSFOG00015028851.1)". The record is from RNAcentral. Lineage: Eukaryota; Metazoa; Chordata; Actinopteri; Osteoglossiformes; Osteoglossidae.